This 260-nucleotide ribosomal RNA is filed under the name Escherichia coli. RNAcentral describes it as "partial 16S ribosomal RNA". It matches the Rfam family "Bacterial small subunit ribosomal RNA", at positions 1 to 257 of the family's 1533-position model. The record is from RNAcentral. RNAcentral also lists the same sequence under 2 other names. Lineage: Bacteria; Pseudomonadati; Pseudomonadota; Gammaproteobacteria; Enterobacterales; Enterobacteriaceae.
AAAUUGAAGAGUUUGAUCAUGGCUCAGAUUGAACGCUGGCGGCAGGCCUAACACAUGCAAGUCGAACGGUAACAGGAAGCAGCUUGCUGCUUCGCUGACGAGUGGCGGACGGGUGAGUAAUGUCUGGGAAACUGCCUGAUGGAGGGGGAUAACUACUGGAAACGGUAGCUAAUACCGCAUAACGUCGCAAGACCAAAGAGGGGGACCUUCGGGCCUCUUGCCAUCGGAUGUGCCCAGAUGGGAUUAGCUAGUAGGUGGGG